Molecule: regulatory RNA element, 32 nt
Organism: Aquimarina atlantica
Lineage: Bacteria; Pseudomonadati; Bacteroidota; Flavobacteriia; Flavobacteriales; Flavobacteriaceae
Rfam family: DUF805b RNA
About the family: Bacteroidetes, Chlorobi (1 example), Proteobacteria. Lineage (Flavobacteria)
Source: Rfam
AUAGCGGAAGCCGAAAAGCUAAUGAGUAGGCA